AUAUGAACUACGAGCGUUAAACU
This 23-nucleotide non-coding RNA is filed under the name Arabidopsis thaliana (thale cress). Lineage: Eukaryota; Viridiplantae; Streptophyta; Magnoliopsida; Brassicales; Brassicaceae. The record is from RNAcentral.